AUGCCAUUGACUCACAGAAAGCCUAUUACUGUUCUCUCUGUGGAGUCCAUCAUCCCUAACGGAAGAUCCCUGAUAUUUUGGAUACACCUCCAAGGGCCUUGUAUUAGGCAUUGUGAAGGAAAGAAAUGCACGGAAAAUCUCAUAGAGGCUGAUAAAUCAAGGAUAAUGCCUAAGGUACUCUUUGUAAGAGGGAUAAUAAAACUUCUCAGCUGAAUGUUGAACUGAUAAAUGAUGACGUUGAUGACUAUGGCAAUGAUAAGUGAGUUGUAAUACAGUUAUCAAGCACUCAUGGCAAACUCGGCUCUGAGUAAUAUAGAAUAUCCUCAACCAGAUGAUCAUGAUGUAUGUACUGAUUUUGGCACAUACAUCAUGUGCCAUGGGUUCUAGGCACAUGCAUAGUACCAAGUAUUUAGGGUUAUAAGCACCAUGAGAUAACUUUCUCACAAUUUUCAGAAAGAAAAACCCAACCAGAAGAUAACCAUUUUGACUGUCUUUAGGAUCCAUGAUUCUUUUCUGCCUGGGAGAGACUGCAAGGCUUCAGAGAAUUCAAACGUUGCUUCUCAUUAAGGAAAUAGUGAAUUAACCUAUAUGUAGUAUCUGAAAAAAUUAAACUUCUAUUCUUGGUGCUUUCUUUCUUAACGGGCCUAAAAUGGACCUUACAGGUAUAAUCUCAGUAACUCAAAUAUUAUAAGAGGAAAAUGGCCUGCCAUGUUCAUAAUGUAGCAGAUUAUUUUAACUAGUAAUUAAUAAAACUGAACAACAGCAUUAAAGAGAACACCUAUAGUCCCUUGGCAUGAGACUAGAGGCAAAUGUAGAUUGUCCUCUGUGAGUGUGAAUGGUCUACUAUCGAGCAAUUUAUAUAUUUAGGUAGAAUGUGAAUUGCUUAGGACACACCCAUGACGUGAGGUGAAGGGUACCAAUGUCCAUUUAAAGAAUCUGUUUUAAAGUACUAUUUAAAAAAUUCGACAGUAGAGCCUAUUCCAGCUAUAAUAGGCUUUCAUUUACAUUCUUACUUAAAUGCAGGUAAUAACCUGAGUUUGAGAUGCAAGGAAUAACCUGCAUUUUAGAGAGGAGGAAAAUGAGGUUCAGAGCCAUGUGUUGAUUUUGCUAACAAUGGUGGAUCUUGAGCCUGGAUCUCAAUCUUCUGAUUAUGAGAUGCGUGCUUUUUUACCUCCUGCCAUGUUACAUCUAGCCAGUAGAAUACCUAAAAUUCUGUACAACUCUAGGUCAUCUGUCCCACUUUGCCUGGAACAGUUCAGAUUUAUCCUUUUUGGCAGCGUAAUUAUUAAUAAUGUUACCUUUUACUCUCAAAAAAUGUCUUAAAUUGGACCAAUGAUCAUAUAGUAAUUUCACUGAUGGCACGGCGCAGAGAGACUCCA
This 1379-nucleotide long non-coding RNA is filed under the name Callithrix jacchus (white-tufted-ear marmoset). Its description in RNAcentral is "lncRNA (ENSCJAG00000072364.1)". Lineage: Eukaryota; Metazoa; Chordata; Mammalia; Primates; Cebidae. The record is from RNAcentral.